RNAcentral lists this ribosomal RNA (409 nucleotides) under Aspergillus flavus. Its description in RNAcentral is "partial large subunit ribosomal RNA". It matches the Rfam family "Eukaryotic large subunit ribosomal RNA", at positions 1 to 410 of the family's 3401-position model. Lineage: Eukaryota; Fungi; Ascomycota; Eurotiomycetes; Eurotiales; Aspergillaceae. The record is from RNAcentral.
GGUUGACCUCGGAUCAGGUAGGGAUACCCGCUGAACUUAAGCAUAUCAAUAAGCGGAGGAAAAGAAACCAACCGGGAUUGCCUCAGUAACGGCGAGUGAAGCGGCAAGAGCUCAAAUUUGAAAGCUGGCUCCUUCGGGGUCCGCAUUGUAAUUUGCAGAGGAUGCUUCGACGUUAAAUAAGUGCCCUGGAACGGGCCGUCAGAGAGGGUGAGAAUCCCGUCUGGGAUGGGGUGUCCGCGCCCGUGUGAAGCUCCUUCGACGAGUCGAGUUGUUUGGGAAUGCAGCUCUAAAUGGGUGGUAAAUUUCAUCUAAAGCUAAAUACUGGCCGGAGACCGAUAGCGCACAAGUAGAGUGAUCGAAAGAUGAAAAGCACUUUGAAAAGAGAGUUAAAAAGCACGUGAAAUUGUUG